Molecule: long non-coding RNA, 454 nt
Filed under: Mus musculus (house mouse)
Lineage: Eukaryota; Metazoa; Chordata; Mammalia; Rodentia; Muridae
Description: long non-coding RNA chr19:41526399-41526853
Source: RNAcentral
AGACCGUUAGUGUAUAACAGAGUUGUUUGUUUCCUCUUUGAUUUUAAACAGAGAAAAUAAAAGGAGUAACUGCUCCUUUUUUCUUCCUUUUUUCAUUUCAAAGUUUCUACCAGUGUAUCAGUGACGGACAACAGAGAGACAUGCUGUAGAGUGUUUGCCUAGUUGACAAAGCUGCUUUUGAAUGCUGGUGGUUCUGUUCCUUUGACACUACGCACUUUUAUAAUAUGUGUUAAUGCUCUAUGACAAAUGCUCUGAUUCCUAGUGCCAAAGGUUCACUUCAGUGUAUAUAACUGAACACUCAUCCAUCUGUGCUCUUUUUUUUUUUUUUUAAUGGUGCUUAAAGAGCCCAUCCUUUGCAAGUCAUCCAUGUCAUUCCUUAGGCAUCUUAUCUUUGCUCAACUGUUAAAGAAUGGUGGCUUGUUUUCAUGGGUUUUGUAUUUGUGUCUAAUGCACG